GAUUAUGAAGUUCUGAAUUUGAAGAAGAACACCUAUAGUAACAGUUAUAUCACUAUAGGCCCUUUAGUGACAGAUUUGAAUUAUUUUAAAUUUUUCAAUUUCUGGAAAUUGCGAAAUGAUUAAAAAUAAGAUGCCUGAUAUUUACAGAUGUUGAGGUAUAGAAUAAGAGUCUUAGACUCAGUAUUUACCCGAUAAUGCUGUCGGUACGCCGACAAAUGUCAGACCCUAUAAUAGAAAGAAAAGGCUACUGUAAGAGCAUGGAUGAG
This 266-nucleotide long non-coding RNA is filed under the name Panax ginseng (ginseng). RNAcentral describes it as "long non-coding RNA (PGIN_LNC008050)". Lineage: Eukaryota; Viridiplantae; Streptophyta; Magnoliopsida; Apiales; Araliaceae. The record is from RNAcentral.